UAGCAAGUCGAGCGAUUUACUUCGGUAAAGAGACGGCGGACGGGUGAGUAACGACGUGGGUAACCUGCCCUGUACACACGGAUAACAUACCGAAAGGUAUAGCUAAUACGAGAUAAAUACUUUUAUCGUCAUGGUAGAAGUAUCAAAGCUUUUGCGGUACAGGAUGGACCCGCGUCUGAUUAGCUAGUUGGUAAGGUAACGGCUUACCAAGCGGCGAUCAGUAGCCGACCUGAGAGGGUGAUCGGCCACAUUGGAACUGAGACACGGUCCAAACUCCUACCGGGAGGCAGCAGUGGGGAAUAUUGCACAAUGGGCGAAAGCCUGAUGCAGCAACGCCGCGUGAGCGAUGAAGGCCUUCGGGUCGUAAAGCUCUGUCCUCAAGGAAGAUAAUGACGGUACUUGAGGAGGAAGCCCCGGCUAACUACGUG
RNAcentral lists this ribosomal RNA (428 nucleotides) under uncultured Sporacetigenium sp. RNAcentral describes it as "bacterial SSU rRNA". It matches the Rfam family "Bacterial small subunit ribosomal RNA", at positions 55 to 507 of the family's 1533-position model. The record is from RNAcentral. Lineage: Bacteria; Bacillati; Bacillota; Clostridia; Peptostreptococcales; Tepidibacteraceae.